AACGCACCUUGCGCUCCUUGGUAUUCCGAGGAGCAUGCCUGUUUGAGUGUCAUGAAAUUCUCAACCUUUCUAGCUUUUAUAGCUUGUCAGGCUUGGAUUGUGGAAGUUGCUGGUUCAAGUACGAAUCAGCUCUUCUUAAAUGUAUUAGCAGUAACCUUUGCUGACCAUCUUUGGUAUGAUAAUUAUCUAUAUCAUUGAAAAUCAGCGUCCUCCCAAGGAAAGGCUUCGCUUCUAAUAGUCUUUUAGACAACUUGACAACUUUGACCUCAAAUCAGGUAGGACUACCCGCUGAACUUAA
Molecule: unclassified non-coding RNA, 298 nt
Filed under: uncultured Entoloma
Lineage: Eukaryota; Fungi; Basidiomycota; Agaricomycetes; Agaricales; Entolomataceae
Description: sequence contains ITS2
Rfam family: 5.8S ribosomal RNA (bases 1-52)
Source: RNAcentral